CAAAGGACUUUACCGACAGUUUUACGCAUUGUUUUACCACUUGGCCGCCCUCAUGUAGGGCUUCCGUGCUAAUUAUGUCGAAAAACAGUAGAUCGGGGCCAAAAACGGAAAGCGCUGUUGUAGAAGUGAAGAGUAAGGGGUGAAGACAAAAUGCAGCUUGAUUUGCAAGAGGGGGCAAAAUCUCCAGUACAGGAUUUCUUCAGGAGUGGCUGUCCUCCUACAGACGAAGCAUGCACACGUGUGCGUUUUAAGUUGAUAUUGUAAAUGAUACAAAUAAAGAUCCAAAGAAAAAUAAAUCUGU
This 301-nucleotide unclassified non-coding RNA is filed under the name Gigantopelta aegis. Its description in RNAcentral is "partitioning defective 6 homolog beta-like, transcript variant X1". Lineage: Eukaryota; Metazoa; Mollusca; Gastropoda; Neomphalida; Peltospiridae. The record is from RNAcentral.